UACGAAGGGUGCAAGCGUUAAUCGGAAUUACUGGGCGUAAAGCGCGCGCAGGUGGUUCAGCAAGUUGGAUGUAGAAACGCCCGUGGGCUCAACCGUGGGAACUGCAUACCAAAACUACUGAGCUAGAGUACGGUAGAGGGUAGUGGAAUUUCCUGUGUAGCGGUGAAAUGCGUAGAUAUAGGAAGGAACACCAGUGGCGAAGGCGACUACCUGGACUGAUACUGACACUGAGGUGCG
This 237-nucleotide ribosomal RNA is filed under the name uncultured bacterium. Its description in RNAcentral is "partial 16S ribosomal RNA". It matches the Rfam family "Bacterial small subunit ribosomal RNA", at positions 524 to 755 of the family's 1533-position model. The record is from RNAcentral.